GGUGGUAUGGCUCAGCAGUUAAGAGCACUGGCUGUACUUGUAAGAAGACCUGGGUUCAACUCCCAGUUCCCACA
RNAcentral lists this transfer RNA (74 nucleotides) under Mesocricetus auratus (golden hamster). It matches the Rfam family "tRNA". Rfam says of the family: Transfer RNA (tRNA) molecules are approximately 80 nucleotides in length. The record is from Rfam by way of RNAcentral. Lineage: Eukaryota; Metazoa; Chordata; Mammalia; Rodentia; Cricetidae.